RNAcentral lists this ribosomal RNA (774 nucleotides) under uncultured Neocallimastigales. Its description in RNAcentral is "partial large subunit ribosomal RNA". It matches the Rfam family "Eukaryotic large subunit ribosomal RNA", at positions 22 to 643 of the family's 3401-position model. Lineage: Eukaryota; Fungi; Neocallimastigomycota; Neocallimastigomycetes; Neocallimastigales. The record is from RNAcentral.
GUACACGCUGUGACUAGCAUAUCAAUAAGCGGAGGAAAAGAAACUAACAAGGAUUCCCCUAGUAACGGCGAGUGAAGCGGGAAGAGCUCAAAUUUGAAAUCUUAAAGGGUUUCCCUUUACGAAUUGUAGUUUAAAGAAGUGUUUUCUGUUGAGGUUUUGGUAAAAGUUCUUUGGAAUAGGACAUCAUAGAGGGUGAGAAUCCCGUAUUUGACCUUUACUUUCAACUUUGUGAUACACUUUCAAAGAGUCGGAUUGUUUGGGGAUGCAGUCCAAAAUGGGUGGUAAAUUUCAUCUAAAGCUAAAUAUUGGCGAGAGACCGAUAGCGAACAAGUACCGUGAGGGAAAGAUGAAAAGAACUUUGAAAAGAGAGUUAAACAGUACGUGAAAUUGUCAAAAGGGAAGCGUUUGACACCAGUGUUGUUUUCCUGAAAAUCAAUUAAAGAACUGUUUAUGCUAAGUUGUUUAGACUUUAUCAGCUAUCCUGUUUAGUUUUGAGCUUUUCUUUAAUGCACUUUUCAGUUAACAAGUCAACAUCAAUUUCUUUUGCUGUAAAAAAGCUUGAGGAAGGUGGCUUGAGAUUCGUCUUAAGUGUUUAUAGCCUCUUGCCUAUGCAGUCGGAGAGAUUGAGGUCUGCAGCGUAGAUCCUUCGGGGCUAAAUGCAUUUGUGCUAAGUUAUAGCAUUUUAUAGACAACUUGUUGACUAUGAUUUGUCUUGUAGCUUACUCGCUUAUGUUAUUUUACCUACGCUUAGGAUGUUGACUGAUAUGUAGUCGU